GGGGCUGUAGCUCAGUUUGGGAGAGCGCUUGAAUGGCAUUCAAGAGGUCGUCGGUUCGAUCCCGAUCAGCUCCACCA
Molecule: transfer RNA, 77 nt
Filed under: Deltaproteobacteria bacterium
Lineage: Bacteria; Pseudomonadati; Myxococcota; Myxococcia
Also listed under: 4 other names
Description: tRNA-Ala
Rfam family: tRNA
About the family: Transfer RNA (tRNA) molecules are approximately 80 nucleotides in length. Their secondary structure includes four short double-helical elements and three loops (D, anti-codon, and T loops).
Source: RNAcentral